ACUCCUACGGGAGGCAGCAGUGGGGAAUAUUGCACAAUGGGCGCAAGCCUGAUGCAGCCAUGCCGCGUGUAUGAAGAAGGCCUUCGGGUUGUAAAGUACUUUCAGCAGUGAGGAAGGUGGAUAUGUUAAUAGCAUAUUCUAUUUGUACGUUAGCUGCAGAAGAAGCACCGGCUAACUCCGUGCCAGCAGCCGCGGUAAUACGGAGGGUGCGAGCGUUAAUCGGAAUUACUGGGCGUAAAGCGCAUGCAGGUGGUUUGUUAAGUCAGAUGUGAAAGCCCGGGGCUCAACCUCGGAAUUGCAUUUGAAACUGGCAAACUAGAGUACUGUAGAGGGGGUUAGAAUUUCAGGUGUAGCGGUGAAAUGCGUAGAGAUCUGAAGGAAUACCGGUGGCGAACGGCGGCCCCCUGGACAGAUACUGACACUCAGAUGCGAAAGCGUGGGAAAGCAAACA
Molecule: ribosomal RNA, 451 nt
Filed under: uncultured bacterium
Lineage: Bacteria
Description: bacterial SSU rRNA
Rfam family: Bacterial small subunit ribosomal RNA
Source: RNAcentral